UACGUAGGGGGCAAGCGUUGUCCGGAAUCAUUGGGCGUAAAGCGCGUGUAGGCGGCUUCGUAAGUCCGUUGUGAAAGUCCAGGGCUCAACCCUGGAAUGCCGAUGGAUACUGCGGAGCUAGAGUCCGGAAGAGGCGAGUGGAAUUCCUGGUGUAGCGGUGGAAUGCGUAGAGAUCGGGAAGAACAUCAGUGGCGAAGGCGGCCUGCUGGGCUGUUGCUGACGCUGAGGCGCGACAGCGUGGGGAGCAAACAGG
This 253-nucleotide ribosomal RNA is filed under the name uncultured bacterium. RNAcentral describes it as "partial 16S ribosomal RNA". It matches the Rfam family "Bacterial small subunit ribosomal RNA", at positions 524 to 776 of the family's 1533-position model. The record is from RNAcentral.